Molecule: ribosomal RNA, 426 nt
Filed under: uncultured bacterium
Lineage: Bacteria
Description: bacterial SSU rRNA
Rfam family: Bacterial small subunit ribosomal RNA
Source: RNAcentral
GUGAGGAAUUUUCCGCAAUGGGCGAAAGCCUGACGGAGCAAUGCCGCGUGAAGGAUGAAGGCCUAUGGGUUGUAAACUUCUUUUCUCAGAAAAGAAUUAUGACGGUAUCUGAGGAAUAAGCAUCGGCUAACUCUGUGCCAGCAGCCGCGGUAAGACAGAGGAUGCAAGCGUUAUCCGGAAUGAUUGGGCGUAAAGCGUCUGUAGGUUGUUUAAAAAGUAUUCUGUCAAAGAUUAGGGCUUAAACCUAGAUAGGCAGAAUAAACUUUUAAGCUAGAGUUUGGUAGAGGCAGAGGGAAUUCCCGGUGGAGCGGUGAAAUGCGUAGAUAUCGGGAGGAACACCAAAGGCGAAGGCACUCUGCUGGGCCAUUACUAACACUGAGAGACGAAAGCGAGGGGAGCAAAUGGGAUUAGAAACCCCGGUAGUCC